Esox lucius (northern pike) is the source of this 1776-nucleotide long non-coding RNA. RefSeq lists it as uncharacterized. The record is from RefSeq and is a predicted model, not a curated record. Lineage: Eukaryota; Metazoa; Chordata; Actinopteri; Esociformes; Esocidae. The transcript is spliced from 3 exons.
UAACCUCAGCAUGUCCGUUUCAAGAAUGGAUCUUUUGAGGACCGUCGGCGGUGCGUGCGCACCAGGGUCGCACAGUGGAAACAUUGCAUUUAUCUAUUUCAAACAGGCUUUGGGGAAUCACUGGCACGGUGGCACGAGUGCUACACUGUUGCGUCUGGCUUCUUUUUGAAGAAACAUCAUUCCCAGAUAUUUCAAAAAAAGAAUUUGCUGCAAUUUGUCCCAAAGGAUAAUCUUUCAAAAUGUGUGGAUCGUGCGAUAGCAGCAUAACUGAUCAAAAAGAAGGGCGGCGGUGGUAUGGUGAGCAGCACACAGCGAACUUCAACUCCAUACGCAGCUCCAUUCUCUUGCAUACAGUCCUCAUCAAGUGAGGGUCUCGCGCUAGGCUAUGUCAUCUUGCUGACGGAGGGAUGCGGACAAGACAUCACGGAUCCUACGGCGUUGCGCGUUUAUGGUGAAGAAACAUGUUUGUGGCAUACAUUGGAGAACAUCAGGUCUCUGGCAUGGCGCCCCGCUGAUCGGUGGCUCGGAGGUGUGUUUGACAUGGAGAAGGGCCCACCAGCAGCGCAGACUAACCCUGCGGAGGCCAGCUCUUCAGCUGUCCCUGCCUGCCAGGGCCUCUGCCUCCAGUCAACAACAAGCCAGCUCAUCCAGCAGCAACCUGAUCUCCAGCUGCCAUGAUCUACGUCUAUGAAGAUGUGUCAUGUCUGCGUCUGUGAAGAUGUGUCGUGGUCUACAUCUAUGAAGAUGUGUCAUGGUCUACGUUUUUGGAGAUGAUUCGUGGUCUACAUCUAUGAAGAUGUGUCGUGGUCUACGUCUGUGGAGAUGUGUCGUGGUCUACGUCUAUUAAGAUGUGUCGUGGUCUACUUCUGUGAAGAUGUGUCGUGGUCUACUUCUGUGAAGAUGUGUCGUGGUCUACGUCUAUGAAGAUGUGGCGUGGUCUACGUCUAUGAAGAUGUGUCGUGGUCUACUUAUAUGAAGAUGUGUCGUGGUCUACGUCUAUGAAGAUGUCAUGUUCUACUUCUGUGAUGAUGUUUCAUGGUAUACGUCUAUGGAGAUGUGUUGUGGUCUAAGUCUAUGGAGAUGUCAUGGUCUACUUCUAUGAAGAUGUGUCGUGGUCUGCGUCUAUGAAGAUGUGUCGUGGCCCUACGUUUAUGGAGAUGUCGUGAUCUACUUCUAUGAAGAUGUGUCGUGGUCUGCGUCUAUGGAGAUGUGUUGUGGCCCUAUGUUUAUGGAGAUGUGUUGUGGCCUACAUCUAUGAAGAUAUGUUGUGGUUUAUGUAAAUGAAGAUGUGUGUUUCAUUUUUAUCAUUUCAUUUAUUGUUUUCCCCAUUAUCGGGCAGAUAUUUGCGUCCAGCUUCUAGCAGGACAAUGUUGUGAGAACGGUUAUUGGUUUUCAUAACCCCACCAGUGCUCUAGACUGAGACCCUUUUGUAUUAAUUAGUCACUUUAAUUUGUUUUAAUUGGGUUGCAUUGUUUUAAUUAGGUUUUUGUAUUUUUAUUAGGUUGCAUUGGUAUGAGCUGCACAUUCUGCACAGCACCUCAAUUCCCAAUCAACACAUCAUGUUUUUUGGAGGCUAACAUCUGGAUUCAGGUCAAACAUUACAGCGUAUUAUCCUCAUGAUUCAUGUAUUAAAAGUAUCUGUCCCGGUACUUGUUUCGCUGCAUACAGCCUGUAGCAUUGUAACGAGCGAGCCACUCUCUCAUUUUUCUUUCCUGGUGAAAACAAAUGCCCCAGGAGAAUACGUGCUUUGUGAUUGUAUAAAACAUUCAAACCCAA